This 466-nucleotide ribosomal RNA is filed under the name uncultured bacterium. Its description in RNAcentral is "partial 16S ribosomal RNA". It matches the Rfam family "Bacterial small subunit ribosomal RNA", at positions 28 to 507 of the family's 1533-position model. The record is from RNAcentral.
GACGAACGCUGGCGGCGCGCCUAACACAUGCAAGUCGAACGAGCGAGCGAGAGCUUGCUUUCUCGAGCGAGUGGCGAACGGGUGAGUAACGCGUGAGGAACCUGCCUCAAAGAGGGGUACAACAGUUGGAAACGACUUCUAAUACCGCAUAAGCCCACGACCCGGCAUCGGUUAGAGGGAAAAUGAGCAAUCCGCUUUGGGAUGGCCUCGCGUCCGAUUUGAUAUUUGGUGAGGUAACUGCCCACCAAGGCGACGAUCGGUAGACGGACAGAGAGGUAGAACGGCCACAUUGGGACUGAGAAACGGCCGAGACUACUACGGGAGGCAGCAGUGGGGAAUAUUGCAAAAUGGGGGAAACCCUGAUGGAGCGACGCCGCGUGGAGGAAGAAGGUCUUCGGAUUGUAAACUCCUGUUGUUGAGGAAGAUAAUGACGGUACUCAACAAGGAAGUGACGGCUAACUACGUG